Molecule: ribosomal RNA, 253 nt
Filed under: uncultured bacterium
Lineage: Bacteria
Description: partial 16S ribosomal RNA
Rfam family: Bacterial small subunit ribosomal RNA
Source: RNAcentral
GACGUAAGGCGCGAGCGUUGUCCGGAUUUAUUGGGCGUAAAGAGCUCGUAGGCGGCUUGUCGCGUCGACCGUGAAAACUUGGGGCUCAACCCCAAGCCUGCGGUCGAUACGGGCAGGCUCGAGUUCGGUAGGGGAGACUGGAAUUCCUGGUGUAGCGGUGAAAUGCGCAGAUAUCAGGAGGAACACCGGUGGCGAAGGCGGGUCUCUGGGCCGAUACUGACGCUGAGGAGCGAAAGCGUGGGGAGCGAACAGG